This 87-nucleotide ribosomal RNA is filed under the name Sinopodophyllum hexandrum. RNAcentral's name for it is "partial 5.8S ribosomal RNA". It matches the Rfam family "5.8S ribosomal RNA", at positions 73 to 154 of the family's 154-position model. Rfam says of the family: 5.8S ribosomal RNA (5.8S rRNA) is a component of the large subunit of the eukaryotic ribosome. It is transcribed by RNA polymerase I as part of the 45S precursor that also contains 18S and 28S rRNA. Functionally, it is thought that 5.8S rRNA may be involved in ribosome translocation. The record is from RNAcentral. Lineage: Eukaryota; Viridiplantae; Streptophyta; Magnoliopsida; Ranunculales; Berberidaceae.
UGCAGAAUCCCGUGAACCAUCGAGUCUUUGAACGCAAGUUGCGCCCAAGGCCAUUAGGCCGAGGGCACGUCUGCCUGGGCGUCACRC